UAGUAAAAUGGUUUCGGAUGAUAACUCAAGAACGCUUAGGCCUAGAAUCAUAAAACUUGAUAGGUAGAUUGAUCAUGACUCGCAGAUGACCCCUAUUGAUUUUCAGGUCACUAGGUCAAAGGUCACAGUGACCGGAUAUAGUAAAAUGGUUUCCGGAUGAUAACUCAAGAACACUUAGGCCUAGGAUCAUGAAACUUGAUAGGUAGAUUGAUCAUGACUCGCAGAUGACCCCUAUUGAUUUUCAGGUCACUAGGUCAAAGGUCAAGGUCACAGUGACUUGACACAGUAAAAUUGUUUCCGGAUGAUAACUCAAGAAAGCUUACGCCUAGGAUCAUGAAACUUCAUAGGUACAUUGAUCAUAACUGGCAGAUGACCCCCAUUGAUUUUCAGGUCAAUAGGUCAAAGGUCAAGGUCACAGUGACAAAAAACAUAUUCACACAAUGGC
This is a long non-coding RNA of Dreissena polymorpha, 445 nucleotides long. RefSeq lists it as uncharacterized. The record is from RefSeq and is a predicted model, not a curated record. NCBI's taxonomy places the organism in Eukaryota, Metazoa, Mollusca, Bivalvia, Myida, Dreissenidae. The transcript is spliced from 2 exons.